This 504-nucleotide ribosomal RNA is filed under the name uncultured bacterium. RNAcentral's name for it is "partial 16S ribosomal RNA". It matches the Rfam family "Bacterial small subunit ribosomal RNA", at positions 28 to 523 of the family's 1533-position model. The record is from RNAcentral.
GAUGAACGCUAGCGGCAGGCCUAAUACAUGCAAGUCGAACGGGAUCUGAGGGUAGCUUGCUACCCGAUUUGAGAGUGGCGCACGGGUGCGUAACGCGUGAGCAACCUACCCAUAUCAGGGGGAUAGCCCGAAGAAAUUCGGAUUAACACCGCAUAAUAAUACGCUAACACAUGUUGAUGUAUUUAAAUAUUUAUAGGAUAUGGAUGGGGUCGCGUGACAUUAUCUAGUUGGUAAGGCAACGGCUUACCAAGGCGACGAUGUCUAGGGGCUCUGAGAGGAGAAUCCCCCACACUGGUACUGAGACACGGACCAGACUCCUACGGGAGGCAGCAGUAAGGAAUAUUGGUCAAUGGGCGCAAGCCUGAACCAGCCAUGCCGCGUGCAGGAUGACUGCCCUAUGGGUUGUAAACUGCUUUUGUUAGGGAAUAAACCUUCUUACGUGUAAGGAGCUGAAUGUACCUAAAGAAUAAGGAUCGGCUAACUCCGUGCCAGCAGCCGCCGUAA